This 253-nucleotide ribosomal RNA is filed under the name uncultured bacterium. RNAcentral describes it as "partial 16S ribosomal RNA". It matches the Rfam family "Bacterial small subunit ribosomal RNA", at positions 524 to 776 of the family's 1533-position model. The record is from RNAcentral.
UACGGGGGGGGCAAGCGUUGUUCGGAAUUACUGGGCGUAAAGGGCUCGUAGGCGGCCAACUAAGUCGGAUGUGAAAUCCCCAGGCUUAACCUGGGAACUGCAUCCGAUACUGGAUGGCUUGAAUCCGGGAGAGGGAUGCAGAAUUCCAGGUGUAGCGGUGAAAUGCGUAGAUAUCUGGAGGAAUACCGGUGGCGAAGGCGGCAUCCUGGACCGACAUUGACGCUGAUGAGCGAAAGCUAGGGGAGCAAACGGG